ACUCUUUUUUUCAACUACUUUCAAUUAAUAUGUUUAUGUUUUGUUUUCUUUAAAUAGAGCAUCUCUUUAGUCUUGUUUUCUCAAUUGUUUUGUCCCUUUUUCUUGUCUUCAACAUCUUUAGCAAAGGUUUUGUUUCAAUGGUUAAUUAACCAAAUUUGUGUGUGUAACCCAAGUUUAAAUCAUUUAUGGAACAAUCAUCGUCCGAUUUUAUCUAUCAUAUUCAGUUGACUUUAGAUUACUAUACCUUUGCAUGUUCAUAUUCAAAAGGGUUUAAGAAGCACAUAUACGGAUACGGACACCAGAUAUCGAAUACGUCUAAUCUAAGGAGUAUCUAUGCCUCAUAAACCCUUUUGAAUUUUUAAUAUGCAUAUUGCAUAUGAACUCCGUUGCAUGAUACUUCUAGUCUUUUUGCUUUCUUUUGUUGGCUUUAGUUGGUUUCAUCCUUUUCAAACUAGCCACUAGCAUAUUCAGUUUUCAAAGUUGGCGUUUUUUGGUUUCUUAAUCUAGAAGAUUUUAAAAUGAAUUAUACUUUAUUUGACUUUAUAUUAUUAGUGUUAAUCUUUUUCAUCCCUUAUCUACAUCCCACAAACAUUGGCCCCACCCUUUUUGUUUGUUGCUGCAUUUUGUUUUGUUAACUAACUUUGUUUGUUGUUUGCUUUUGUAUGUUGUCGUGAAUAAAUAAAACUAAAGGAAAGCACAUACAACAAUAAAUAAAUAAAUAAAUAUUUACAGCAUUUAAUAAUUUUCCAACUUUACUACUCAUACGUGACCUUGAUAACGAUAUCUUGAAUUUGAAAAUGUACAAAAUAAACAAGCAAAAACUAUUUAAAAAGCCAGGGUUGCCAAUUGAGUAUAAGUUUUAGUUAUUUUGUGGUGAAAUCAAAUAUAUAUAAGUCGAUAACUAGAAUAAUUUCAGGUGGGACCUUGGUGAUAAUGAGAUUAUCAUAAACUAAAUUAUAAGCUUGACAUUAGGUUUAUAUUUGAUUUUUUUCGUCAAAAUAAAAGGUUUAUGUAUUUAAUUUGUUAAUUUUUGUUUUAGGAUGAUGGGAUUAUAUAUAAUAACUAUAAUGAGAUUUCUUUAUAGUUUUGAUUAGAACAUAUGCUCACUAUUUGAAGGUAUUAUCCAGUCAAAAAGAAAAUAUGGUUUUUUCUUAUAUCAUCAACACGGUAUAUGGUUCACCCAAAAAAAAUCAACAGGGUGUAUUAUUGAAUUAUGUAACACGUUUUAAGGUUUGUUUGAAUUAAAAUGUUUAUAAGAGUACUUUUCAAUUCCUCUAAAUUAUGUUAAAGAAAAGUAAAAAUAUUCAAAAGUUUAAGGAUUAUCCUUGGAUUUUGACUUUCAAUCAUUUCUUGAAUAAUUGUGCGGACUGGUUAGCAAAAUAUGGUUAUAAGUUGGAUUGUUGCAACAUGUCUUGGAAACUCGUUUUUCUCGUGUUUAGUUUUUUUAUUUUUAUUUUCCUUUUCAUAAAAAGAAAAAACAAAAAGUAAAUGCUUUUCUGAAACCUCGUCCAAAUUUUCUUUCAUCUUAGACAUCAUUUAACUUCGGUAAUCUUUGUAUUUUUCAAAAUUUAAAAGCAUUUUUUGUUUUAACUUUUCAAAUUUGAAUUAGUACAUAAAUUAAAUUGGUUUUCAUUGUCAUCCUCGCUAUUCAGCACAAUUUCUUUCUCUUUUCUUAGGCGGAAGUGUAGAUAUUAUUUCAAAUUAGAAAAAGAAAAAAUUGACUCAAACUAUCAAAUAGAAUGGGAUGGAUUAAUAAUCUUUUUAUUAACUCAAGUGGUUAACGAUCCUAUAAGGAUAAAUUGUUCGCCCAAACCCUAGUUUAAUUCUUGAUGGAACAAUUUUUUAUUGAAAUUUAUUUACUUUUGAUCAAACUUUAGAUCAUUAGAACCCUCCUCCUAUAAAACCAGCGGAUUAACAAAAAAACCAGUACAUAUGAAAAAAUAUGUUGCUAUUUUCACUUCUUGAGUUAUCUUAGAUAGAAUGAGUGCCAAUUGCAAUAGCCCAAAAGUUUUAUCCACUUUUAUCAACGAAAAGAGUUGUAUUCACCAUGAAUAUCAAUCAUCAAGAAUUAAAUGCAAUAAAUUUAUUUGUAUUAAUUUGUCCCCACCACUUAAAAUGUCUAGAUCUGUGUUGAAGUGUAGUAAAUUGAAACCAGGUUAUUUUCAAUUCAAUGCAAUCUUUGAUUAGAGUAAGGUUGGGUGGGGUGGGUCUAGGACAAGAAUUGAGCAUGUGCAGUCGAUGGACCAGAAAACAAAGUUAGGAAGUGAUCGUUUAUUGUGAGUAAGAACAAAAACAACCAAGUCGACUAUCAAUAGGUCGAGGAAAACCAUGUGACAUAAAAUGGUUUUGGUCACCAACCCCACAAUCUAUAACUCAAUAAUCAAUAUCUUCUUUAUAAAGCUCACCAAACAUGAACAUUCACUUAAGAGAGCAAAAUAUUGUGUAAAAUGCUUGCUAAGGAUAUACCUGACUCGAGUGAUUAGUCUCAUUACGGUCAUAUCUGACUCGAAUGACUAGUUUCAGCAAUUGCAAGCAUAAGAUAUCUGAUUCACACCUAAAAAAAAAAAAAA
Medicago truncatula (barrel medic) is the source of this 2570-nucleotide long non-coding RNA. RefSeq lists it as uncharacterized. The record is from RefSeq and is a predicted model, not a curated record. The transcript is spliced from 2 exons. NCBI's taxonomy places the organism in Eukaryota, Viridiplantae, Streptophyta, Magnoliopsida, Fabales, Fabaceae.